Long non-coding RNA from Serinus canaria (Common canary), 1130 nucleotides. RefSeq lists it as uncharacterized. The record is from RefSeq and is a predicted model, not a curated record. The transcript has 5 exons. Lineage: Eukaryota; Metazoa; Chordata; Aves; Passeriformes; Fringillidae.
UGGAUAUGUUCCCAUUCCUGUGGAAAAUUUUGGAGGUACCUCACAUAAUUUAUAAUUGAUUUUCCACUAAACUGUUGAAGAAUCUUUUUUGCUUCUGUUGCUAAAGUGCAGAACCAGCAAAAAAACCUGCAGAACAUCUUGGCAAAUUCUUCAGAAAUUACCUCUACCUCAGAAACCUGAAAGACACAGCAUGAAGAACAUCCACACCAUGCAAAAUUUUACUGUUUUCCAUGCUGGCUUGCAAUGACUGGCUGUGUCUGCAUUGCACAAUAAGUACAGUUGUUCUCGCCUUUACAUAGUGCUGACCUGCACUGCUUCUGAUCCUGGCUCAGCCAGCUAGUUUAGGUGCAUGUUGCCUAGAUUAUUGAAACUUACCCUUACAUUUUGUAAGAGGCAAGGGUGGAAAGAAGCAGAAGAUCUUAUUGGAUUGGCUAAUGAAAAAUAUCUAUGCUUUUAUUAUCUAGCUUUUAUUCAUUGGUCAAGUCAAUCCCAUCAUGUGUCAAGAACUGUCAGCCAAGUUCAAGCACCAGAGGAAGAGCACACACCUCAGGCAGCGUGUGUGAAAAGCAGCAAUGCAUUCCUGUAAUUGUUCCUGAAACUUCCAAACAGGAGGGUUUUACUGGGCCAUAUAUCCAGCUCUUUCCUCCCACCAUGAGCUACUGCUUGAACUCUGCCUUUGGUCUCUGCCUGUUUGUCACCCUGGCUGCUCUUGGGCUUGGUUCUACUUCUUGUUGUGGGAGCAUUUUGAAAUCAUUACGCCUUUAUUUUCUGAGAAGCAAGAUUUAUGGGGAAGAUUUUCUUGAAGGUUAUGCUAAUCUUUGUUGGCAAGAGAAACGGUAGCUGGAGCGAAAAAAGUGAAAGAGAAUGCCACAUGAGAAUGAACAGCAUGCGGAGCGUGAGAAGUUUCUGCAAUAACUGGAACUGGAGCAGCCUUGUCAGCAUGCAGUCCCUGGAGCAGUAAGCGGGGAUGUACGCACUGGAAUGUUCAAGAAUGAAAUGUUAAUUAACAUUCAGGUACUCAGAAAGGCAUUUGGGAUAAAUCCUUUGCUAAGGCAGGUGGGUGCCCCUCAGGUACUUUCUGUGAAAUUUUGAGUAUGUCACACAGCCAUUCAUUCAGCCUCAAAAUAAAU